RNAcentral lists this ribosomal RNA (492 nucleotides) under uncultured bacterium. RNAcentral's name for it is "partial 16S ribosomal RNA". It matches the Rfam family "Bacterial small subunit ribosomal RNA", at positions 29 to 507 of the family's 1533-position model. The record is from RNAcentral.
AGUGAACGCUGGCGGUAGGCCUAACACAUGCAAGUCGAACGGCAGCACAGUAAGAGCUUGCUCUUACGGGUGGCGAGUGGCGGACGGGUGAGGAAUACAUCGGAAUCUACUUUUUCGUGGGGGAUAACGUAGGGAAACUUACGCUAAUACCGCAUACGACCUACGGGUGAAGGCAGGGGAUCUUCGGACCUUGCGCGAUUGAAUGAGCCGAUGUCGGAUUAGCUAGUUGGCGGGGUAAAGGCCCACCAAGGCGACGAUCCGUAGCUGGUCUGAGAGGAUGAUCAGCCACACUGGAACUGAGACACGGUCCAGACUCCUACGGGAGGCAGCAGUGGGGAAUAUUGGACAAUGGGCGCAAGCCUGAUCCAGCCAGACCGCGUGGGUGAAGAAGGCCUUCGGGUUGUAAAGCCCUUUUGUUGGGAAAGAAAAGCAGCAGGUUAAUACCCCGCUGUUCUGACGGUACCCAAAGAAUAAGCACCGGCUAACUUCGUG